GUUGUGGCGGGGUAUUAAAUAAAAGUUUUUUUUUUUACAUAAAAAUAUCACUUUUCAGUAUAGCAACUCGUAUGGCUUGUUGCUGGCUCUCUGUCAGUGAUAUGUGUGAGAUGGUGAAGUGAAGGCAAAAGCCAGUGUCGACCUGCCUCAUAUAUCUUACCGAGAUAGGUUUUAAUGCAAUCAUCGAAAGGCAAGAUUCUGGAUGAGUUGCUGUGUAAAUAUGAUGGUUUUAUGGUAAUCUACAGACAAACAUAAAUCGACAAUAAUCUGUUAUGCAC
Long non-coding RNA from Phlebotomus papatasi, 278 nucleotides. RefSeq lists it as uncharacterized. The record is from RefSeq and is a predicted model, not a curated record. The transcript is spliced from 3 exons. NCBI's taxonomy places the organism in Eukaryota, Metazoa, Arthropoda, Insecta, Diptera, Psychodidae.